This 274-nucleotide ribosomal RNA is filed under the name uncultured bacterium. RNAcentral describes it as "partial 16S ribosomal RNA". It matches the Rfam family "Bacterial small subunit ribosomal RNA", at positions 523 to 796 of the family's 1533-position model. The record is from RNAcentral.
AUACGGAGGGUGCAAGCGUUAUUCGGAAUCACUGGGCGUAAAGGACGCGUAGGCGGGUUGGCAAGUCAGAUGUGAAAUCCUACAGCUUAACUGUAGAACUGCAUUUGAAACUGCUAACCUAGAGUAUGGGAGGGGGAGAUGGAAUUAGUGGUGUAGGGGUAAAGUCCGUAGAUAUCACUAGGAAUACCGAAAGCGAAGGCGAUCUCCUGGAACAUAACUGACGCUAAGGCGUGAAAGCGUGGGGAGCAAACAGGAUUAGAUACCCUUGUAGUCC